This is a long non-coding RNA of Trifolium pratense (red clover), 2340 nucleotides long. RefSeq lists it as uncharacterized. The record is from RefSeq and is a predicted model, not a curated record. The transcript has 9 exons. NCBI's taxonomy places the organism in Eukaryota, Viridiplantae, Streptophyta, Magnoliopsida, Fabales, Fabaceae.
ACAAGUGUCAUCCUAUAAGCAACUCCACAUAGGAUUUUACCUUUCAUGUUUAGACAAAAAUUUAUCCUCAUUUAGGCAAAGUUUUCAAAUUUUAUCAUGGAGGGAAAAAAUGUGUGAAGAAUUGAUCAAAGGGCCACACAAUUGGGUCGAAAUUGCAAGGCCCAUUGUGUUUAAGCCCAAAACGGACAAAAAAAAAAUUGCUGAAAUGAAAAAAACAAAAACGCAGGCACAGUAACGUCCCUUUCAUUUGCUUCAUUGUCUUCUUAUUUCUGUCAUUUUCUUCACACCUUCCCCAAAACACCCAUUUUAGUGAAAAUUGUUUCUCUGCACACAUGUUGUUGGAAUCAAUUUCAAAUUUCAAAUUUCAAAUUCUCCCUCUCUUCAAUCUCAUCCCAUAACUCACUUAGCUAACUUUCUUUCUCAUGUGUUUCAAAUUUCAAUUUCAAUUCUUCUCUCUUCAGCUCUCUCAUCCUCUCUCACAGCAAAAAUCGCUGAAGAUUGUGAACUAAGUUAAAGACAAGUAACGAUGAUUUUGAAUACAAGGAAAAUCAAUUGAAGUGGCAAUGGAAGGAACCGCCAUCAACAAGGACACACCGUCGGAACCGCCAUUAGCAAGGACACAUAGCAUGAACCGGUUCAAGUGAUAGUUUUAUUUACAAGUGAAAUUAUUUGAGUGAGUUGUGUUUUAAAGAAACUUUUUUUUUGCUAUUUUUGAGGGCUAUAAGUGGGCUAUGAUUUGAAUAGGGAGAGGAUGCUAGAGUUGAGAAGUGGAGCUAGAAGGUCCAAGAGGCUUGGAGAUCUUCAGAAUGGUCCAUGACCUGUUGAUCAAGGAGAGAAUUGGGCAGAGCCUUCGCAGGACAGAACUAGCAGGAGAGUUGGAGGUGGAAGAGGAUAGCUUCAUGAAUAUAAUCCUUAUUCACAAACCUAGCGACGACAAAGAUCGAUGAAGCAGAGCACACGACUGCAGCGAAGAUAUUGCCGCUUAUGAAUAUGAGGAAAAAUUGUGCUACAUAUAUAAUUUUAAAUUGGAAUAAGGCUUGCCAUGUAAAAACAUGUGGAACCAUGUAAAAACUUCAACUUGGAAUAGGAUAUUGAUAUUUUGUCACCUACAAGAGGAGUGGUAUAUAAAGAGCAAAUCAUAAACAUCAAGAUCUAGCCAUUCAUGCAUGCACAAAUGAGUUGAUAGUAUGCAUUUUACUGAGUUGAUAGUAUGCAUUUUACAGAGGUAAGCUUUCCCUUUGAUUAGUUAAUAAUGCUGGUAGUAAAACUGAACUUCAACUUAUAUUGGUGCUACUUUUUGUUUUGCAAAUAUAAGUGGAUCACUUAUAGUGUGAUACUUUUUGUUUUGAGAAUUUGUUUUAAGUGACUCAAAGCAAUGGAUGAUAGUAUGCAUGUGCAUUAUUCUUCAAGUAUUUAUAUCUUAAAGACCUGUGAGAAAUAUAUGUAGAUGAAGUAAGUGCAUUAUGGGAGGAUUUAAAUCGAAUUCUACACACUCUACAUUUUUCAAGUUCUAUAAACAAGUAAGUGUCUUCACUCUUUGACUAUGAUUUAAUUUUUUGUUACUUUGUUCGAACUUUUUAGUAAGAAUGUUUAUGUGUUUGCUCUUUUGGACAAACCACAUUGACCUUCUAACUAAUUUGGGUGUGUUUCAUUUUUUAUUGACUCUGAAUUUGUUUGCUGGAUUCUUCUCCCAAUCAUUUUUUUAACACAUUCAUUUUUUUAUUAAGUAUGUUUUGUUUCAAGUUAGCAUAUUUAAGUUAGAGACUACAUGUGGUACAUGUAAGGGAAAUUGGAACUCGAAAAAUUUUAUUGGUAUAGUGUAAACAUUCACGUUGAAAAGGAACAAAGAGUAGUAGGCAAUAGGCAGUACCUGUGGUCUCAUGGUUUGGAUUCUAUUAUACUUUAAUGCAUAAGAACAACUAACUUUUACCGCAAAUUGAAUCCGAUAUAAAUGUCUGACUCAUGGAUGCUGAAGGGAAGGAAUUCCAAAUCAUACCAAUUUAUGGAAACAAUUUUGUAGAAGGAAUUAUAGGUCUUAAAAGUGAAAGUUGUUAAAGAUUUGGUUUUACAUCUAAAGGAGAUUGUGAGCCGAAAUAUCGAUAGGGUUGCAAAAUGGGUUUUUAACUUCCAAAGGAUUUAUCCAUGAUAAUACAAUGUUUAAAAAGGGUUUUAUAUAAUUUAAGUUUACCGUAAUGGUAUUAACUUUCUUUAGUUCAUGAGUUUUUCUCUUAAUGGAAUUUGAAAAAAUUUCUUGAAUGAAAAUAAAAAUGACAUUAAAAUAUAACAUUAAGUUUGCUAUGUUAUAGUAUAUCCACUACAUAAGUAUGAACACAUGUUGCU